GACGAACGCUGGCGGCGUGCUUAACACAUGCAAGUCGAACGAAGAGCGAUGGAAGCUUGCUUCUAUCAAUCUUAGUGGCGAACGGGUGAGUAACGCGUAAUCAACCUGCCCUUCAGAGGGGGACAACAGUUGGAAACGACUGCUAAUACCGCGUACGAUCUAAUCUCGGCAUCGAGGAUAGAUGAAAGGUGGCCUCUACAUGUAAGCUAUCACUGAAGGAGGGGAUUGCGUCUGAUUAGCUAGUUGGAGGGGUAACGGCCCACCAAGGCGAUGAUCAGUAGCCGGUCUGAGAGGAUGAACGGCCACAUUGGGACUGAGACACGGCCCAGACUCCUACGGGAGGCAGCAGUGGGGAAUCUUCCGCAAUGGACGAAAGUCUGACGGAGCAACGCCGCGUGAGCGAUGACGGCCUUCGGGUUGUAAAGCUCUGUUAAUCGGGACGAAAGGCCUUCUUGCGAAUAGUGAGAAGGAUUGACGGUACCGGAAUAGAAAGCCACGGCUAACUGCGUG
Molecule: ribosomal RNA, 510 nt
Filed under: uncultured bacterium
Lineage: Bacteria
Description: partial 16S ribosomal RNA
Rfam family: Bacterial small subunit ribosomal RNA
Source: RNAcentral